Molecule: non-coding RNA, 1160 nt
Organism: Python bivittatus (Burmese python)
Lineage: Eukaryota; Metazoa; Chordata; Lepidosauria; Squamata; Pythonidae
Source: RefSeq, a predicted model, not a curated record
UCCUCCUCCUCCUCCCUCUCGCGCUCCCUCCUUUUUUGCUGCCUCAACCUCCCACCCGGGCUCGGGCGACGGUGAAGCUGCCUAGGACUGCGCCAUGUUGGCCUUCUUCUGGCUCACGUGACUCGGGGGGCGAGGACACGUCCGUCCCCCAAGCGGCUCGUUCCGAGGCGGAGGCGGUCCCACGACCAGAAGUUGACGCGGGUUGCACGUGUGAACGGGUGCGCGCGGAAGAGCGAGGCGGAUCCGCCCGUGCGGAUAUCCCCCGGGAGCGACCCCUGCGCAGGGCUGAGAGCGGGCAGGGCAAGCGGCGAAUCUCGGCUCGGCCGCUGCACCGGGCGACGGAGGAGCGGCGCCCACCCUGCUCCUGAACCUGCCCUCCCAGCCGCGGCUGCCAGCAGGAAACGAGAACGCGGCGCAGGGGCUGCGCUCCCACGACGCCUUCACCGUUCGCUCGGCUAAGCCCUUGCUCUGGAUUCACACGACACGUCGAACCAGAAAUCGUCGCCCAACAAGCGGCGUCCGGAGCGCCGAUGUGAUUGGACAGACACAGCUGAGCCGUGACCCUUCUCAUGCUUAAGCCAGGGCCCCAGGAUGGCACAUACAGGUUGGAUUCACACAACACACUGAAUCCCAAACCUGGGAUCAUUAAACGCAGCGGCUGUGCUCCCAGAACGUGAUGCCCGAAGCAACCCUAUUCUGAUUCCAUAUUACAACGUGCUGAGAUAAGACCUGCCCUGGGUGCUUUUCUUGUGCGCCCCCCCGAGACCACCAGAAGUGUUUACCUCAUUUUAACUGUGACCAACGGGAGAAUAUAUGAAAAAAAUACAGGAAAAAAGUCUUCAGAUCACGCACUCCUGACGUCUUCAGGGAUAUUCCAUAUAGUCUGCUUGGCAAAGCAGGAAGAGGCCCCGGGAGAUCCAGAAGAGAUGAAGAGACGCCUCCUGCGGACCUUCUCGCACAUGGAACAGGAGCUGGUCAAACUCAUGACCCUUAUCCGGAAUCGCAAGGCCAGCCUCGUCACCCACCACCGGGGCUGCAAAGCCUCCGACUGCCAGCGAGUUGGAGAAAACAACAAGGCCUUUAAUUUGGCUGUGUACGAUAUUAUUGAGGACUGAGCCGCAGGAAAAGGAUUAGAGACGGGAAUAAAAGUAUUACAGUGG